Solanum dulcamara is the source of this 660-nucleotide long non-coding RNA. RefSeq lists it as uncharacterized. The record is from RefSeq and is a predicted model, not a curated record. The transcript has 5 exons. Lineage: Eukaryota; Viridiplantae; Streptophyta; Magnoliopsida; Solanales; Solanaceae.
AUCAAAUCAAAAAGAGGAAAAACAUAAGGGAAUUUGAGGUGGAGAUUUCUGCAACCUACGUACAACAACCAAAGACGAAGAAAACAAAUUGAAUAGAUAGAGAUAGAGAAGAAAGGGAGAGAGAGUGAUGAGGUGAGGGAAUAUGCAGAAGAGAAAAGGAUUUCAUUGGAGAUUUUGUCGGAGUCAAGGGACCAACGAUCACCGCGUGCCUUCCACUCGUUGCUAGAGUGAAACUUUAGUUUCAUAUUGUUGAGACUAAUGAUCACCACGCCCCUCCCACUCGUGGCUAGAGUUGAGCUUUAGUUUCAUAUUGUUGAGAGCACAGGUGAUGUUGGCGAGGAUUUAAAUAAUUAGAGUUAACGAGUUGAAAAUCCAUGAGAGCACAGGUGACAUUGGCGAGGAUUUCAUUAAUUAGUGUUAGCGAGUUGAAAAUCCAUGGUGAGCCCCGCACUUGUUCUGCAGGCAUCAAGCUUAUUUAGUUGUUAUGGCUUUUUCUUUUAAAACUCUUAGAGUCGCUCCGUUUGUCAUUUUCUCUAUUAUAAUCAUGAGUAUUCUUUUGUAUUGUAGUCAUUUGACUAGUUUCAAACUUUCUUUCGUAUUUGGAGAUGAAUUGAUAUUAUUGUAUGGCGAUUAUAUUUUUAAUGGAUAUGAUUCAUUGAU